UACGUAGGGUGCGAGCGUUAAUCGGAAUUACUGGGCGUAAAGCGUGCGCAGGCGGAUGUUUAAGUUAGGAGUGAAAUCCCCGGGCUCAACCUGGGAAUGGCUUUUAAGACUGGGCAUCUAGAGUUUGUCAGAGGGGGGUGGAAUUCCAAGUGUAGCAGUGAAAUGCGUAGAGAUUUGGAGGAACACCGAUGGCGAAGGCAGCCCCCUGGGAUGGAACUGACGCUCAUGUACGAAAGCGUGGGUAGCAAACAGG
This 253-nucleotide ribosomal RNA is filed under the name uncultured bacterium. Its description in RNAcentral is "partial 16S ribosomal RNA". It matches the Rfam family "Bacterial small subunit ribosomal RNA", at positions 524 to 776 of the family's 1533-position model. The record is from RNAcentral.